UUUUAGAAACGUGAUUUUUGAGUUCUACCACUUGGGUUAACUACUAAACACAUAUAUCUAGCACCCCUCUUUGACGGAUCGCAAAAAGGAAUUUUAGAUUUAAAACGGUGAAAUUUCAAAGUAUAUAGAAAUUUUGAUUUUCAAAACUAGAAAAUUAUUUUUCCUUAUUCUUUUGAUUCCCACCAAAUCAACACCCAAUAUGGUUAUAUCUAAACAUGA
RNAcentral lists this long non-coding RNA (219 nucleotides) under Panax ginseng (ginseng). Its description in RNAcentral is "long non-coding RNA (PGIN_LNC000697)". The record is from RNAcentral. Lineage: Eukaryota; Viridiplantae; Streptophyta; Magnoliopsida; Apiales; Araliaceae.